AGACCCGAAACCCGGUGAUCUAGCCAUGGGCAGGUUGAAGGUUGGGUAACACUAACUGGAGGACCGAACCGACUAAUGUUGAAAAAUUAGCGGAUGACCUGUGGCUGGGGGUGAAAGGCCAAUCAAACCGGGAGAUAGCUGGUUCUCCCCGAAAGCUAUUUAGGUAGCGCCUCGUGAAUUCAUCUCCGGGGGUAGAGCACUGUUUCGGCUAGGGGGCCAUCCCGGCUUACCAACCCGAUGCAAACUGCGAAUACCGGAGAAUGUUAUCACGGGAGACACACGGCGGGUGCUAACGUCCGUCGUGAAGAGGGAAACAACCCAGACCGCCAGCUAAGGUCCCAAAGUCAUGGUUAAGUGGGAAACGAUGUGGGAAGGCCCAGACAGCCAGGAUGUUGGCUUAGAAGCAGCCAUCAUUUAAAGAAAGCGUAAUAGCUCACUGGUCGAGUCGGCCUGCGCGGAAGAUGUAACGGGGCUAAACCAUGCACCGAAGCUGCGGCAGCGAACGUAUCACUUAAAGCGAUUCAGCGGGUUACGAUUGACGGAGCGAAGCGACGUCAAAGCGUAUACAAAGUCGAGUCGGUUUAAGGAUACGUUCGUUGGGUAGGGGAGCGUUCUGUAAGCCUGUGAAGGUGUGUCGUGAGGCAUGCUGGAGGUAUCAGAAGUGCGAAUGCUGACAUAAGUAACGAUAAAGCGGGUGAAAAGCCCGCUCGCCGGAAGACC
Molecule: ribosomal RNA, 720 nt
Filed under: Salmonella enterica
Lineage: Bacteria; Pseudomonadati; Pseudomonadota; Gammaproteobacteria; Enterobacterales; Enterobacteriaceae
Description: partial 23S ribosomal RNA
Rfam family: Bacterial large subunit ribosomal RNA
Source: RNAcentral